UACGGGGGGGAGCAAGCGUUGUUCGGAUUUACUGGGCGUAAAGGGCGCGUAGGCGGUCGUGACAAGUCACUUGUGAAAUCUCCGGGCUUAACUCGGAACGGUCAAGUGAUACUGUCGGACUAGAGUACAGAAGGGGCAACUGGAAUUCUCGGUGUAGCGGUGAAAUGCGUAGAUAUCGAGAGGAACACCCGUGGCUAAGGCGGGGUCUCUGGGCCGAUACUGACGCUGAGGAGCGAAAGCGUGGGGAGCGAACAGG
This 256-nucleotide ribosomal RNA is filed under the name uncultured bacterium. RNAcentral's name for it is "partial 16S ribosomal RNA". It matches the Rfam family "Bacterial small subunit ribosomal RNA", at positions 524 to 776 of the family's 1533-position model. The record is from RNAcentral.